This 456-nucleotide ribosomal RNA is filed under the name uncultured bacterium. RNAcentral's name for it is "bacterial SSU rRNA". It matches the Rfam family "Bacterial small subunit ribosomal RNA", at positions 340 to 786 of the family's 1533-position model. The record is from RNAcentral.
UACGGGAGGCAGCAGUGGGGAAUAUUGCACAAUGGGCGCAAGCCUGAUGCAGCCAUGCCGCGUGUAUGAAGAAGGCCUUCGGGUUGUAAAGUACUUUCAGUCGUGAGGAGGGUGUUAAGGUUAAUAACCUUAGCAAUUGACGUUAGCGACAGAAGAAGCACCGGCUAACUCCGUGCCAGCAGCCGCGGUAAUACGGAGGGUGCGAGCGUUAAUCGGAAUUACUGGGCGUAAAGGGCACGCAGGCGGUUAAUUAAGUUGGAUGUGAAAUCCCCGGGCUUAACCUGGGAAUGGCAUUCAAGACUGGUUAGCUAGAGUCUUGUAGAGGGGGUAGAAUUCCAUGUGUAGCGGUGAAAUGCGUAGAGAUGUGGAGGAAUACCGGUGGGCGAAGGCGGCCCCUGGGACAAAGGACUGACGUUCAUGUGCGAAAGCGUGGGGAGCAAACAGGGAUUAGAUACC